UCCGGUUCAUCACCGGCAGUCUCCUUAGAGUCCCCACCUUUACGUGUUGGCAACUAAGGAUAAGGGUUGCGCUCGUUACGGGACUUAACCCAACAUCUCACAACACGAGCUGACGACAGCCAUGCAGCACCUGUCUCAUAGUUCCUUUCGGCACAACCAUAUCUCUACGGUCUCCUAUGGAUGUCAAGGGUAGGUAAGGUUCUUCGCGUUGCAUCGAAUUAAACCACAUGCUCCACCGCUUGUGCGGGCCCCCGUCAAUUCCUUUGAGUUUUAACCUUGCGGCCGUACUCCCCAGGCGGAGAACUUAUCGCGUUAGCUUCGAUACUAACAGGUCAAGCCUGCCAACAUCUAGUUCUCAUCGUUUACAGCGUGGACUAC
This 378-nucleotide unclassified non-coding RNA is filed under the name uncultured Gammaproteobacteria bacterium. Its description in RNAcentral is "contains 16S-23S intergenic spacer region". Lineage: Bacteria; Pseudomonadati; Pseudomonadota; Gammaproteobacteria. The record is from RNAcentral.